This 287-nucleotide ribosomal RNA is filed under the name uncultured bacterium. RNAcentral's name for it is "partial 16S ribosomal RNA". It matches the Rfam family "Bacterial small subunit ribosomal RNA", at positions 521 to 805 of the family's 1533-position model. The record is from RNAcentral.
UAAUACAGAGGGUGCGAGCGUUGUUCGGAAUUACUGGGCGUAAAGCGCGCGCAGGCGGCCCUUUAAGUCUACCCGUGAAAUGCCGGAGCUCAACUCCGUGCACGCCGGGGGAUACUGGAGGACUGGAGACGAGUAGAGGCAAGCGGAAUUCCGGGUGUAGCGGUGGAAUGCGUAGAGAUCCGGAAGAACACCGGAGGCGAAGGCGGCUUGCUGGGCUUGGUCUGACGCUGAGGCGCGAAAGCGUGGGGAGCGAACAGGAUUAGAUACCCUGGUAGUCCACGCCGUAA